Molecule: non-coding RNA, 577 nt
Organism: Pelobates cultripes (western spadefoot toad)
Lineage: Eukaryota; Metazoa; Chordata; Amphibia; Anura; Pelobatidae
Source: the annotation of a GenBank genome assembly
AUUUGAUCAAAUCCCAGAAAGGGGAACACCAAAUGAACUCAACAUCACCCUCCUAUAUUAAAUAAAGCUGCAGUCCCUUUAUUUUUUCAUGUAAAAAUACAUAAACUGGAGAACAAGAGAUUACCACCACAUUAGAAAACUACUACCUUCAACUGCUAAAUGCAUGAAAUUGGUAAAGGUACUGUAAUUUUAUUUAUCUUCGCAGGUGUUCCUUUGGCGUUCCACAUGUGGGGUCUGACAGAUAUGUACAUCUGAAAUCCUGAGGCUGACAAAACGUAAAGUUCUACUAUCAACUUUUCUUCGGCCAUCACAUGUGAUGGGUUUUAGGAUUUCACAUGCUCCUGACACAGUCCCUGGGAAAUGAUUUGCCAGGAGCUGAAGAAGAUUUCCAGGAAGAAGAUGGCAGCGGACGUGAGAUUCAGACAAGUUAACCUACCUUCCACUGCAACUCGCAGCCAGGCGAGCCUAACCAGAGAUGUCACUUUCAGGGGUCUUUGCUAAAUAUAUACUGCUCAGUAUAGUAGGUAUCACCAUUAACAAUGUCAUAGUCUCCACUUAUACAAGCCUAAGUCAGUUC